This 316-nucleotide small nuclear RNA is filed under the name Jaculus jaculus (lesser Egyptian jerboa). Its description in RNAcentral is "7SK RNA (ENSJJAG00000001085.1)". It matches the Rfam family "7SK RNA". From Rfam's summary of the family: 7SK was discovered as an abundant small nuclear RNA in the mid-70s but a possible function has only recently been suggested. Two independent studies have found that 7SK RNA binds the CDK9/cyclin T complex (known as elongation factor P-TEFb). The record is from RNAcentral. Lineage: Eukaryota; Metazoa; Chordata; Mammalia; Rodentia; Dipodidae.
GUGUGUGUGAGCGAUCUGGCUGCAACAUCUAUCACCCCAUUGAUUGCCAGGGUUGAUUGUGCUGAUCUGGCUAGCUAGUCCCUUUCCUUCCUCAGAGCUCCAUGUGUGACCCUCCCAAAGCUACAUGCUCAGUCAAAAAGGACGACCUUCCCAGAAUAGAGGAGUACUGGUCGUCAGUCAAGGGCAUACAGUAGCUGUGCUCCCCUACUAGAAACUCCAAACAAGCUCUCAAAUAUAUAUGGCAUGUAUGUAUAUAUGUAUGAUUUAAGAUUAUUUUGUAUUUAAUAAAUUUGUGAUCAACAAAUAUUUGAAAAUU